GGGGCUAGCUCAGCGGUAGAGCGUCUGCUCGGCAUGCAGAAGGAACAGAGGUUCAAUCCUCGGCAUCUCCA
Molecule: non-coding RNA, 71 nt
Organism: Podarcis lilfordi (Lilford's wall lizard)
Lineage: Eukaryota; Metazoa; Chordata; Lepidosauria; Squamata; Lacertidae
Source: the annotation of a GenBank genome assembly